This 255-nucleotide ribosomal RNA is filed under the name uncultured bacterium. RNAcentral's name for it is "partial 16S ribosomal RNA". It matches the Rfam family "Bacterial small subunit ribosomal RNA", at positions 524 to 776 of the family's 1533-position model. The record is from RNAcentral.
UACGAAGGGGGCUAGCGUUGUUCGGAAUUACUGGGCGUAAAGCGCGCGCAGGCGGCCAUUCAAGUCAGGGGUGAAAGCCCAGAGCUCAACUCUGGAACUGCCCUUGAAACUGUAUGGCUUGAGUAUGAGAGAGGUGAGUGGAAUUCCCCAGUGUAGAGGUGAAAUUCGUAGAUAUUGGGAAGAACACCGGUGGCGAAGGCGGCUCACUGGCUCAUUACUGACGCUCAGGCGCGACAGCGUGGGGGAUCAAACAGG